Molecule: non-coding RNA, 25 nt
Filed under: Cricetulus griseus (Chinese hamster)
Lineage: Eukaryota; Metazoa; Chordata; Mammalia; Rodentia; Cricetidae
Source: RNAcentral
AAAGCCGCAGUUCUCCCGUGAGAGG